GCAGAUGAUAAGCGUCAACAAUUCUCGUCAUCCCGUCGCUCCCCGGAGCUACACUUUUCAACGUGGCACGCGUUCGAGCGAAUCGUUAUCAAAGGAAGGUACGAUAGGAAAAUUGAGCCCGGCACACACAGACGCCGUUUCAUAGCCUGCAGCUAUUGCACGGGGGAGGCUGCAAAACCGCCCGUCUGAGGAAGAAUAUCAAUGAUGAGGCAAGACAUCCAAGUGCCAGGAAUCCACAAGGGCCGGAGGGCGCUCGGGGCGGCUCUUCUCGUCCCAUCCUUAACAACACGUGGGACACGACGGUGAAUGGAACGACGGUCACCGCUCAUCUGCUACACGAAAGGGUAGUGGCGCUGUAAGACUGCUGAUUCAUCGACACGAGGCUACAACGAUUCAGAACCAUCCUGCGAACUACCCUGUGGACUGCCUCCUAUACACACGCAGAGCUUGAUCCACCAAGGGAGAUGGAACUCCGCUUGUUGCUGCUUUGCACUCGUGUGGCUAAUUCAACCAUUAGGCAACGUGAGUAAGGCUUGACCCAGCAGGGCCUCUCUUAACAAGCUUUGAGUGCGAAGCGUCAAAACGGCAACGCGGGGCCUUUCUUGGUUCCAGGCAUGUACAACCAGCACGUGUGAUCGUCUCCCUCGAUAAGAAGACAGCAACGGAUCAGAAAGAGGAGAAAAGAAGAUCUCUCAAGUUGGAUAGCUUGUGGCUAGUCGAGUCAGAAAGAGCAAGACCGGCAUCCUAAAAGGUGUUCUUUGCUGCCAAAGCCUAUGUCAGCACGUCUUAACAACCUGGUACCUGAGGUAGACAGAGGUGGCUUCGACGUCGUCGGGGCAGGGUCCGGAGUGCCAUUCGUGUGACUAAAACGUCCCGCUAAACGUCCUACCACCUGAUGUUAGCACCGCGAGGCGGCUGUGGCAAUGUGAGCGGCGUACAGACAUGGGCAGCUGGAAGGAGACAGAAAUGUUGGUAUGGGAAACUGUGGCCGUCUGCCGGAGAAACGAGGGAAACAGGAUUGGACCCUCCAGGUCUUUUUGAGCAUGACUUUUGUGAAAGAUAUCCGAAGCCACGACAUUCACCGUUGUUGAAGAACCUGACCCUUAUCAUGGACUCUGUGCCUUCGAAGAUCCCGGUUUGCUUGCGCACUCAGCAGACGAUUCCACAAGAUCUGAAGACUAUACGUCACCUCUUGGAACUUGGAACAUUUUGUGACCGCUAUUUUGAACUUUUUGUAGCAUGCAACAGUCUUAGAAUUGUGUAAACUGAGUGUAUACUGUGAACUCGUGCAUUUUGCACUCGAACUCGGGACAGUUCGACAAUUAAAAUGGGGGUCGCAUGAGCGACAGCGUCACCACCAUCACCUCAGCAGACCCAUCAUCAUCACCACCGUGGCAGCAAUGCUUAAAAGAUGAAGCGCGCCACGCAUGCUCGGGAGCUCAUUGGGUAUCGUCGACGAAUCAACAACAUCCACGAACUUUUAAUUACACCAGUUACCUAUUUUAUUAACUUUUAGAUU
Ornithodoros turicata is the source of this 1519-nucleotide long non-coding RNA. RefSeq lists it as uncharacterized. Lineage: Eukaryota; Metazoa; Arthropoda; Arachnida; Ixodida; Argasidae. The transcript is spliced from 9 exons. The record is from RefSeq and is a predicted model, not a curated record.